UACCUCUGGCUCCUUCGCAUUCAAGCUAGAAAACAUUUCGCCUUCUACUGAAGAUUUCCGUGCAGAGGUGCAUUUUAUAAGCAUCAAACAAUUUUUGAGAUCCCUGGAAAGAGCGGAGUG
Molecule: small nuclear RNA, 120 nt
Filed under: Ancylostoma duodenale
Lineage: Eukaryota; Metazoa; Nematoda; Chromadorea; Rhabditida; Ancylostomatidae
Description: U5 spliceosomal RNA
Rfam family: U5 spliceosomal RNA
About the family: U5 RNA is a component of both types of known spliceosome.
Source: Rfam by way of RNAcentral